RNAcentral lists this unclassified non-coding RNA (224 nucleotides) under plant metagenome. Its description in RNAcentral is "partial contains small subunit ribosomal RNA, internal transcribed spacer 1, and 5.8S ribosomal RNA". The record is from RNAcentral.
UCUCCGUUGGUGAACCAGCGGAGGGAUCAUUACAGGACUCGCAAGACUCCUUCACCCUGUGAACCUCACUACAAGCACGUUGCUUCGGCGGGUGUCCCGGCGGGGGUUUUCCCUCGCCGGGGCGCACAGCCCGCCGGCAGCCUACUAUACUCUGUCUCUUUGCGUUGGCAUCUCGAGAAAAAAUAAACAAGUUAAAACUUUCAACAACGGAUCUCUUGGUUCUG